This 588-nucleotide ribosomal RNA is filed under the name Triticum aestivum (bread wheat). RNAcentral's name for it is "partial small subunit ribosomal RNA". Lineage: Eukaryota; Viridiplantae; Streptophyta; Magnoliopsida; Poales; Poaceae. The record is from RNAcentral.
AUGGCUGGCAUUCCCGGUUCUUCCUCACGCCCCCACGGCCCUCAGAAAGGCGAUUGGGGGAGCUGCUCAGUAUCCCAUGCCCAGCUGACCAAGCUUCAGACGCAGGGGUAUCUCCCUCCCGCAGAUCUAGUCCCUGUUCGGGCGGGGUUAACUUCCAUCAAUGGCGAAGCCCUGGCGGAAAAAUUCCCCAAUCCUACUGAAGGGGAGCGAGUGUGCUUCGUUCCCUUCCUAUUAAGAGGCGUUGGGUUUCCAAUCCACCCUUUCCUCCGAGGUCUCCUGGAGUAUUAUGGCCUCCAACUGCACAAUCUUACGCCGGGCUCCAUUCUGCACAUCGCGGGCUUCGUCGCUCUUUGCGAGCUGUUCCUAGGUUGCAAGGCCCAUUUUGAGUUAUGGAGGAAACUUUUCUGCCUCGUCCCUCGCUCCCAAAAGGGAUCCAUAUUCAAGGUGGGCGGUGCCGAAGUAUGGCGUGUCGCCGGGACAGGAUACCUAUCUGGCACUCCGAAGAAGGCAUCCGAAGAGUGGCCCUCAGAAUGGUUUUAUAUUGAAGACGUGGUUCUUCUAGUCCCAAUCCGUCGGGGCCUUACCUAA